This 82-nucleotide transfer RNA is filed under the name Roseovarius albus. RNAcentral describes it as "tRNA-Pyl". The record is from RNAcentral. Lineage: Bacteria; Pseudomonadati; Pseudomonadota; Alphaproteobacteria; Rhodobacterales; Roseobacteraceae.
GAAACGCCGCGGCUGGUGGUCGCUGUAGACUUAGGUUUCUAAGAUCAAAGAAGGCCCGCAGAUCCUCUCUGUGGGCCUUUUA